This 390-nucleotide ribosomal RNA is filed under the name Spiroplasma endosymbiont of Glossina fuscipes fuscipes. RNAcentral's name for it is "bacterial SSU rRNA". It matches the Rfam family "Bacterial small subunit ribosomal RNA", at positions 54 to 450 of the family's 1533-position model. Lineage: Bacteria; Bacillati; Mycoplasmatota; Mollicutes; Entomoplasmatales; Spiroplasmataceae. The record is from RNAcentral.
CAUGCAAGUCGAACGGGGUGCUUGCACCCAGUGGCGAACGGGUGAGUAACACGUAUCUAAUCUACCCAUUAGCGGGGGAUAACAGUUGGAAACGACUGCUAAUACCGCAUACGACAUUUUCUGGCAUCAGAGAAUGUUAAAAGGUCCGUUUGGACCACUAAUGGAUGAGGGUGCGGCGUAUUAGUUAGUUGGUGGGGUAAUGGCCUACCAAGACAAUGAUACGUAGCCGAACUGAGAGGUUGAACGGCCACAUCGGGACUGAGACACGGCCUGAACUCCUACGGGAGGCAGCAGUAGGGAAUUUUUCACAAUGGGCGAAAGCCUGAUGGAGCAAUGCCGCGUGACUGAAGACGGUCUUCGGAUUGUAAAGGUCUGUUGUAAGGGAAGAAC